RNAcentral lists this ribosomal RNA (207 nucleotides) under uncultured bacterium. RNAcentral describes it as "partial 16S ribosomal RNA". It matches the Rfam family "Bacterial small subunit ribosomal RNA", at positions 568 to 774 of the family's 1533-position model. The record is from RNAcentral.
CACGUAGGCGGACUGGAAAGUUGGAGGUGAAAUUCCAGGGCUCAACCUUGGAACUGCCUUCAAAACUAUCAGUCUGGAGUUCGAGAGAGGUGAGUGGAAUUCCGAGUGUAGAGGUGAAAUUCGUAGAUAUUCGGAGGAACACCAGUGGCGAAGGCGGCUCACUGGCUCGAUACUGACGCUGAGGUGCGAAAGCGUGGGGAGCAAACA